This 477-nucleotide ribosomal RNA is filed under the name uncultured anaerobic ammonium-oxidizing bacterium. RNAcentral describes it as "bacterial SSU rRNA". It matches the Rfam family "Bacterial small subunit ribosomal RNA", at positions 365 to 832 of the family's 1533-position model. The record is from RNAcentral.
UUCGCAAUGCCCGAAAGGGUGACGAUGCGACGCCGCGUGAGCGAAGAAGGCCCUAGGGUUGUAAAGCUCUGUCGAGGGUUAUGAAAUAUAGAUGGGUUAAUACCCCAUUUAUUUGACAAAAGCCCAAAAGGAAGCCACGGCUAACUCUGUGCCAGCAGCCGCGGUAAUACAGAGGUGGCGAGCGUUGUUCGGUAUUAUUGGGCGUAAAGAGCACGUAGGUGGUUUUGUAAGUCAGGUGUGAAAGCCUUCUGUUCAAAGGAAGAACGGCAUCUGAAACUGCAGAUCUUGAGUGUAGGAGGGGAGAGUGGAACUUCUGGUGGAGCGGUGAAAAGCGUAGAUAUCAGAAGGAACGUCGGCGGCGAAAGCGACUCUCUGGCCUAUUACUGACACUGAGUGUGCGAAAGUUAGGGGAGCAAACGGGAUUAGAUACCCCGGUAGUCCUAACCGUAAACGAUGGGCACUAAGUAGAGGGGUUUU